CGGGACGCAGCAGUGGGGAAUUUUGGACAAUGGGGGCAACCCUGAUCCAGCAAUGCCGCGUGAGUGAAGAAGGCCUUCGGGUUGUAAAGCUCUUUUGUCAGGGAAGAAACGGUCUGGGCUAAUACCCUGGGCUAAUGACGGUACCUGAAGAAUAAGCACCGGCUAACUACGUGCCAGCAGCCGCGGUAAUACGUAGGGUGCAAGCGUUAAUCGGAAUUACUGGGCGUAAAGCGUGCGCAGGCGGUUAUGUAAGACAGAUGUGAAAUCCCCGGGCUUAACCUGGGAAUGGCAUUUGUGACUGCAUAGCUAGAGUGUGUCAGAGGGGGGUAGAAUUCCACGUGUAGCAGUGAAAUGCGUAGAUAUGUGGAGGAAUACCGAUGGCGAAGGCAGCCCCCUGGGAUAACACUGACGCUCAUGCACGAAAGCGUGGGGAGCAAACAGGAUUAGAUACCCUAGU
RNAcentral lists this ribosomal RNA (457 nucleotides) under uncultured Oxalobacteraceae bacterium. RNAcentral describes it as "bacterial SSU rRNA". It matches the Rfam family "Bacterial small subunit ribosomal RNA", at positions 342 to 791 of the family's 1533-position model. The record is from RNAcentral. Lineage: Bacteria; Pseudomonadati; Pseudomonadota; Betaproteobacteria; Burkholderiales; Oxalobacteraceae.